This 495-nucleotide ribosomal RNA is filed under the name Bryochiton perpusillus. RNAcentral describes it as "eukaryotic LSU rRNA". The stretch from base 174 to 327 matches the Rfam family "5.8S ribosomal RNA". Lineage: Eukaryota; Fungi; Ascomycota; Dothideomycetes; Pseudoperisporiaceae. The record is from RNAcentral.
AGGUGAACCUGCGGAGGGAUCAUUACCGAGUGAAGGGCCCCCGGGCCCGACCUCCCACCCCCUGUUAUCCGACCCAGUUGCCUCGGGGGCGACCCGGCCUUCGGGCGUCGGGGCCCCCGGUGGACCGUCCAACCCCGUCUCCGUGCGUCCGAGUCUGAUUAUGAAUCAAUCAAAACUUUCAACAACGGAUCUCUUGGUUCUGGCAUCGAUGAAGAACGCAGCGAAAUGCGAUAAGUAAUGUGAAUUGCAGAAUUCAGUGAAUCAUCGAAUCUUUGAACGCACAUUGCGCCCCUCGGUAUUCCGGGGGGCAUGCCUGUUCGAGCGUCAUUAUCACCAAUCGAGCCCCGCUCGGUGUUGGGCGCUGCGGCCCGUCCGCACGCCCCAAUGUCCUCCGGCUGGGCCGUCUGUCUCGAAGCGUUGUGGCAACUCAACCCGCUUGUGAGUCUGGACGGUCCGACGCCGCUAAACCUCCACACCAGGUUGACCUCGGAUCAG